Vigna umbellata (rice bean) is the source of this 355-nucleotide non-coding RNA. Lineage: Eukaryota; Viridiplantae; Streptophyta; Magnoliopsida; Fabales; Fabaceae. The record is from RefSeq and is a predicted model, not a curated record.
UUAAAAAUAAAAUAUUCGAAUUCUAAAGUCGAAAUCUUGUGAGUGGAAAAGACGCCAUAGACGAAAAGUUUUCCUCUCUCUCUCUCCCUCUCUCCCUCUCUCAACCCAGCGAUGAGCCUCUUCGGUAUAGGCAGAAACCAGAGAACAUUCCGUCCAAAAAAAAGUACUCCAUCUGGAAGUAAGGUGGGUUUCUAUUAUUUUUCUGGGAUCUUUUUUUAGAUAUUAUUUGUUCUUGAUGAUUUAAGUUUUUUUUUUCUCAUUUAAAGCUGAGAGCCUUGCUGUUAUGACCAUUUCAGUUUUUAUUUCAUUCAUUAUAUCACACGUGCAUGGAUGGGAAGGAAUUGCUUUAACCUUA